Molecule: long non-coding RNA, 4902 nt
Filed under: Nicotiana tabacum (common tobacco)
Lineage: Eukaryota; Viridiplantae; Streptophyta; Magnoliopsida; Solanales; Solanaceae
Description: long non-coding RNA (NTAB_LNC006844)
Source: RNAcentral
CUGAAUAUAGGCCGACAAGGCCAUAUAGUAUCUUAUGUACAUGACAUCUGUCUACGAGCCUCUAAGAAUAUACAAUUUUUAUAAAAGUCGGGACAGAGUCCCGCUAAAUCAAACAAUACACAUAUAAAUCAUACCAACCAAACAAGUAACUCCGAAGCAAAUGGAGCGUACCAAUAUCUUCCGCUGAGCUGAUAGCCUACUUGGAGGGCUCUCGACCUAUCUAUCGGAACCUGCAGGCAUGAAACGCAGCGUCCCCAGGCAAAAAGGGACGUCAUUACGAAUAAUGUACUGAGUAUAUAAGGCACAUAAAUAAGUACAUAACAAACAUAGAGGAAUAUAGAGUAAAUGACUCCACCUGUAAGUCUGAAUAACUUUGUAAAUCAUGAAAUAUUUUAUAGUAUCAUGCAUAUGCGUAUGAAUGUCAUGUCGUGCAUAGGUACAUGUUUCAUAACAUCAUCAGCCUCUGAGAGCAUCCCAUCAUAUCAUUUUAGUCACUAUGGGCAAAAUCAUCAACGUAUACCAGCUGAUCAGGUGGUGGUGCAUAUAUAACGCCAUAAUCUUUCCCAUAUCCCAUAUACAUAUAUAUACAUAUAUACGCGUAUAUAACGUCAUCUGGUCACGAGUCAAUGUACAUGAAUGCAAUGCAUGAAAAGUACGUUAAUAAAAUCUUUCGGAAUGUCAUAAGACCAUUUUGCCUUUGAGUGAUAUCAUAAAGUAAACUCUUUNNNNNNNNNNNNNNUGGAAUNUGNGCAUUUGCACGUUUCGUGCGUAUCGUAUGGAUCAUCCCAAAAGAAAGAAGGGAUAGCCUUAACAUACCUGGAGUAGGAAAAAAUCCGUAUGAUAUUCUUGAAAAAGGUUACAUCGUAUUCUUUUAGAACCGCAAAAUUUUACGUUAGUCAAGAAAAGGACUUCCUUACUUUUCAUUCAUAGUAGUCUUAAUGACUAGUAGUUUGAAGCCUUAAGAAAGCGAUUUUUUUUCGGCACUCGCUUCCUUCGUCUUAAGUCAAGUUCAGUUUACUUUUUCGAUUCGGAACUCUUAGUCGAGUUAAUGGCGAGAUCGAUUUUUUGUUCGAGGUUCAAGAGGAAGGAGAGAAACCAUCGCCCAAUGGUGCUUUUACGAAAGUAUGGUCACCGGUGGCUAAUACCUUCUCGAGACUAUCGAACCUGAAAUCCACUGCUAAAGAUUUAAUAAUCUCGUUGGUUUGAAGAAAUCACAUUGUAGUGUUCUUGGAGGAAUUGUAGGAAUUUGCAAGAAAAUCACGUCUGUUUGUUUGUAAGGAAUCAAAUUAUUUGUAUUGAAAAUCUUGGAAAUUGAGUGUCUUGUACUUAUUAUGCUAAGUUGCCACCUAACUAAAAUUGACUAAGAGUCAUUUGGGCAAAAAGUGGCUUGUUGCCACGUUGGUUUUCUCAUCUUUAUCCAAUUAAUUCUUUAAUUAAUUGGAUAAUACCCAAUUACUCAGUAAUUAACUAAUUAUUUGCACAAUUAAAAAUUAUCUCAACUUACUUAAAAUAUUACUCUCUUUUAACAUACCUUGUACACCUUACUAGCAUGGUCAUGUAGUACCUUGUAUGACACUAGUCCAUAAAUACCAGGUAUUUUAGCUCGGGUCAUAUUUUAUCCCAAAAUGCCAAACUUUGACGAAAAUUCAUUUUCUUUGACUUGCUUCCCCUUUCACCUUCACGAAUUUACUCAUCACUUGUGAAAUAGCAUAAUCCUUGUAAUCUCCAAAUAAUCUUUUACUUGAAUUGAUGUCAAUUAUCUUACGACAAAUUCAAUGUACAAUACUACAUGGUGCAAUAUCGUCGUAACUUAAUACUACAAAGCGUAACAUCACCAUAAUGUAAUACUGUAGGGCGUAACAUCAUCGUAAUAUAAUACUGCAGGACGUAAUAUUAUCGUAAUAUUGCGGGGUGUAACAUAAUCCAUCUCGAGGUCACUACUGCUGAGUAACAUUGGUUUGAUUCACUUGUUUCCUUCAUUUCUCCUUCAUAUUUCUUGAUUAUUAAUUGGUAUUGAACUAAAUCACAUAUAUUUCUUGAUUAUUAAUUGGUAUUUUCGAGGUAAACAGAAAAUAAUACAAAAGAAAAGAGAAAGUUACAAUUUUCUAUUCAAAUCGAACAAAUCAAAAUUAUGGAACCGAUUAAAAUGAAAUAAAAAUAAUAAUAAAUGUAUCAAAUUUAAUUGAGUAUGAUAUUGAUAUAACAUCUUAAGAAACUGAAUAUAGAAAAUAUUAAACCAAAAUAUUUACAAAAUUGGAAUCUGGGCAAAACAUAAAGACGAGCAGCCGUCGGAUGUGGUAUGUGCACAUUAUGACUCUAGAAUAAGAUUCUAGAACCUGCAUCUAGACCUCACUCUUAAAUAUGAGUACAAAUAGCAUUUUUAUACGUUACUUAGGAAUAGUAAUAUAUUUAUUGUUUUCCCUUCGUCCAAACUAUUGGCUCAAAUACGUAAUCCAAGCUCAGCAAAUCUCCGUUUUCGCCCAAUUCAAUCAAUCGCCUCACAUCUUCUAGGUACUUUUUCUAACGGCCAAAUGCAUAGACAACCCCUUAAACUUGUUCUUAUUUUCCAUCUGAAUACUUUAUCUAAGCACAUGACCUAUUGGGCACUUAAAGUUAAUUGAAAGUGCACCAAUUAGAUACAAGAUAUAAGAACAUAAAAUGGGUGUAUCUCACUCGCAUUGACAUGGCACAUAAGCCAAUGAGAACCAAAAACGUGGACAUUUUAAUUACAAAUAAUCAAUUGGAAAAAACUGAAGAUAAAAACCAAACUAUUUUAAAAUCUCAACCCCCAUUUUUGUUUCUUCCCCAAAUAGAGUUUGAAGCUUCCUAUCGGACUUUUCUCCGCUUCUUUUAUUAAUGUCACAAUCUGAAUAUUCCUCCACAACUGAACCUCCAAAUUUUGGAGACCCUACUCCAUUUCUCUUCCAUGAGCCAGCUUCUCCUCUAUCUGAAAAUCACCGUUUUCCACCCCGACCUUUUCGAUUUUUUAGUAUUUCAGUGCAUCUCUUAAAAAAUUAAACAUGGACCAAGAAAUCAUGGACUUUCUAAAAUCUUAAAAAUUAAACUGAUCCAAAAUUUCAAGUUAAAAUAAAUGUUAACAGGGGAGCACCUUGUGACGACGACCAUAACAACGGUGGUGGCAGUUGGCCUAACAACUGUGGUGGUGAUGGUACUCGUUACGGGUCUAUUCGGAGGAAUGGGGAUGGGCAUUUUCGAAGUGACGGUGGAAGUGAAAGCCACAUGUGAGUUGUGAGCUUGAGGUUUAUCACUAUUUGUUUCGGGCUUAUGUGAUGUUGAAGUUGUCACACCUCCUUUUUUACCUACACCCCGAAAGAGGUAUAAGGGGAGUUUUUUCCAAUUUAAAGUGAUAAUCAAAACGGGAUGAUUUUUAAAAAAAAAAAUCAGAAUCGCCACUUGGGAUAAUUUUAUAGUGUCCGAAGUCACCGGUUCAAAUUCCGAAUUGAGGAAAAGAUUGACUCUGUAUUACAGUCCGCGAACACAGAAAUCCGGGUAAGGAACCCUGUUAACCCGAGAGAAGGUGUUAGGCAUUCCCGAGUUCUGUGGUUCUAGCACGGUCGCUCAACUAUUAUAAUUGGCCUAUUAUCUGAUUUUAAUACAUGUUUUAACAUAUGGUGCAAUUUUAGCUUUAUAACCGCUUUUAUUUAAUUAUUUUUAGGAAGAUUCAACGUCACAUAAAACGCGUUUUGAACCACGUCACAUAAAUGCACCCGCGGUCCACAACACAUUUUAUCUAACAUUGUUGAGAUUUGGAUUUGGGUCACAUAACUGCGCACCCGAAUUUUGGAAAGUAAUUUUUAAAAUAGCGUGUCUAAAGCAAGCUACGAUGUUUAUGAAUAUUGACGGCCUAAUCAUACUUCUAACGAUCCAAAAUCAAAUCAACAAGCAAGAUCUAAACAAUAUACAACUCCAAUCGUUACAAAAUUACUAAGUUGUAAUAGUUUUGUAAAAUAGCACCUCCGACUAAACUCAUUAUGGGUCACCUGCUCACUUCGUUGUUAAUCUCCAAAAUUUGAAGCUUAAAGUCGAAGUAUACAUUGUGUGAAACCAACCAGAUUAACCAAUAUUCCGAUGCAAUUACUGAUCUUUUCCCUAAACAUACAUGGCAUGACCAUUGAAAGUAAACUCAUAAGAGAAAUCAAACAAAUAAUUCAAGUAUUCAUGACACAAAUUCUGCAAAGUAGAAAGAAGAAUGAAGUUCAAAGUGUGACCUCUAACGGGCAGCAACUGCACUAGAUUAAAGCGUCAACCGGAAUUACAAUGGAGAAGACGACUUCCAAAAAUAGAACAUCAGCAAGAACAACUAUCGGACCUUUGAACUAAAUGGAACCGGUGAACGGGCCUCGACAAGGAACCAAGGGAAACGGUCAUCGAAACUUAGUCAUCGAAGCUCAACCAGAAACUCGAGCCUCGCCGGAAAAGGGUGUUAAACGAGUUUUGCAACUCCUCACUGUUUUCAGCGCCUUUGUUCGUUAGCUCUAGAGCUCGAAAGUUGUCAUCGGACUCUCAGCCAGCUCUAGUGAUGAAGAAGCUGGUUUGGCCGCUUGAAGAAGGGGUCGCGUCUGGAACUCGUUAAUCUGACGAGCUGGUGGAGCUCGUUUUUCCGGCGAGUUUCAGGCAGAGAUGGGGUCGUUUGAUCGUUAACGUUCAGGGGUCGUUGGCGUUUUUCCGACGUGCAUAGGUUGUUCCAGGUUUGGGGCUAUUGGUAUAUGUGGUUGAUGAAGAGAGCAGGGAUGUUGUUUGGUUUGUCUCGCGAAGAAGAUGAAGUUAUGGAAGGGGUCGUUGGAGAAGAUGGAGUCGGGGAGGGGGGUAAGGGUCGUUCCUUAUUGAAAAAAGCUGCGCAGUUUUUUGAUCCGAUCCUUUUUAGUGUUCUCUUCCUUUUUU